Molecule: transfer RNA, 71 nt
Filed under: Myotis davidii
Lineage: Eukaryota; Metazoa; Chordata; Mammalia; Chiroptera; Vespertilionidae
Rfam family: tRNA
About the family: Transfer RNA (tRNA) molecules are approximately 80 nucleotides in length.
Source: Rfam by way of RNAcentral
GCCGUGGUGGCUCAGUGGUUGAGCAUCUACCUACGAACCAGGAGGUCACGGUUCGAUUCCCGGUCAGGGCA